ACUGUGUAGAACAUCAUCCUUAGAACCCAUGUGGAUAUAGUUUCCAUGUAAUUCAUCUCCUUGACCAAAAUAAUCAUAGGACACCUCAGAGUUUAACUGUCAACUCUGAUCAGGUUGUCCACAUUGUAUUUCAAAAUAUCAAAUCCAUCUGAUGGAUUACCCUGGCCAAGGUUUUGCUAAAUUGAAAUACAGUGACUCAUUCUUCUCCAACUCUUGAAGUGGUCAAUCCCAUCUCGAUCAUACUCUGACUUUAUAAGUACUUGACUAUGCCC
RNAcentral lists this long non-coding RNA (272 nucleotides) under Elaeis guineensis (African oil palm). RNAcentral's name for it is "long non-coding RNA (EGUI_LNC077742)". Lineage: Eukaryota; Viridiplantae; Streptophyta; Magnoliopsida; Arecales; Arecaceae. The record is from RNAcentral.